This 835-nucleotide ribosomal RNA is filed under the name Blumeria graminis. RNAcentral's name for it is "eukaryotic LSU rRNA". It matches the Rfam family "Eukaryotic large subunit ribosomal RNA", at positions 1 to 851 of the family's 3401-position model. The record is from RNAcentral. Lineage: Eukaryota; Fungi; Ascomycota; Leotiomycetes; Helotiales; Erysiphaceae.
UUGACCUCGAAUCAGGUAGGGAUACCCGCUGAACUUAAGCAUAUCAAUAAGCGGAGGAAAAGAAACCAACAGGGAUUACCUCUAGUAACGGCGAGUGAAGCGGUAACAGCUCAAAUUUGAAAUCUGGUCCGUUUACGGGCCCGAGUUGUAAUUUGUAGAAGAUGCUUUGGCGACGAGUCCGGCCUAAGUUCCUUGGAACAGGACGUCAUAGAGGGUGAGAACCCCGUAUGUGGCCGGGUGCUCGACGCUAUGUAAAGCUCUUUCGACGAGUCGAGUUGUUUGGGAAUGCAGCUCAAAAUGGGUGGUAAAUUUCAUCUAAAGCUAAAUAUUGGCCAGAGACCGAUAGCGCACAAGUAGAGUGAUCGAAAGAUGAAAAGCACUUUGGAAAGAGAGUUAAACAGUACGUGAAAUUGUUGAAAGGGAAGCGCUUGCAACCAGACUUGGGCACUGUGGAUCAUCCGAGGUUCUCCUCGGUGCACUCGGCAGUGUGCAGGCCAGCAUCAGUUUGGGUGGUUGGAUAAAGACUUGUGGAAUGUAGCUCCUCUCGGGGAGUGUUAUAGCCACAGGUGCCAUGCGACCAACCCGGACUGAGGACCGCGCUUCGGCUAGGAUGCUGGCGUAAUGGUUGUAAGCGACCCGUCUUGAAACACGGACCAAGGAGUCUAACAUCUAUGCGAGUGUUUGGGUGUUAAACCCAUACGCGGAAUGAAAGUGAACGUAGGUGAGAACCCAUAAGGGGGCAUCAUCGACCGAUCCGGAUGUCUUCGGAUGGAUUUGAGUAAGAGCAUAGCUGUUGGGACCCGAAAGAUGGUGAACUAUGCCUGAAUAGGUGAAC